This 305-nucleotide ribosomal RNA is filed under the name uncultured bacterium. Its description in RNAcentral is "bacterial SSU rRNA". It matches the Rfam family "Bacterial small subunit ribosomal RNA", at positions 333 to 654 of the family's 1533-position model. The record is from RNAcentral.
GUACUCUUACGGGAGGCAGCAGUGGGGAAUAUUGCACAAUGGGGGAAACCCUGAUGCAGCGACGCCGCGUGAGUGAAGAAGUAUUUCGGUAUGUAAAGCUCUGUCAGCAGGGAAGAAGAAAGACGGUACCUGACCAAGAAGCCCCGGCUAACUACGUGCCAGCAGCCGCGGUAAUACGUAGGGGGCAAGCGUUAUCCGGAUUUACUGGGUGUAAAGGGAGCGUAGACGGCAGGGCAAGUCUGGAGUGAAAGGCAGGGGACCAACCCCUGGACUGCUCUGGAAACUGUACGGCUGGAGUGCAGGAG